Molecule: ribosomal RNA, 368 nt
Filed under: uncultured bacterium
Lineage: Bacteria
Description: bacterial SSU rRNA
Rfam family: Bacterial small subunit ribosomal RNA
Source: RNAcentral
UACGUAGGGGACAAGCGUUGUCCGGAAUGACUGGGCGUAAAGGGCGCGUAGGCGGUCUAUUAAGUCUGAUGUGAAAGGUACCGGCUCAACCGGUGAAGUGCAUUGGAAACUGGUAGACUUGAGUAUUGGAGAGGCAAGUGGAAUUCCUAGUGUAGCGGUGAAAUGCGUAGAUAUUAGGAGGAACACCAGUGGCGAAGGCGGCUUGCUGGACAAAUACUGACGCUGAGGUGCGAAAGCGUGGGGAGCGAACAGGAUUAGAUACCCUGGUAGUCCACGCCGUAAACGAUGAAUGCUAGGUGUUGGGGAAACUCAGUGCCGCAGUUAACACAAUAAGCAUUCCGCCUGGGGAGUACGACCGCAAGGUUGAA